CACAGGGAGGUAGUGACAAUAAAUAACAAUGCCGGGCUUUUUAAGUCUGGCAAUUGGAAUGAGAACAAUUUAAAUCCCUUAUCGAGGAUCAAUUGGAGGGCAAGUCUGGUGCCAGCAGCCGCGGUAAUUCCAGCUCCAAUAGCGUAUACUAAAGUUGUUGCAGUUAAAAAGCUCGUAGUUGAAUUUCUGGUCUUGGGACUCGGUCUGCCUCAAACGAGGUAUGUACCAGGGUCCUGAGACCAUCCUCGAGGAAAAUAAUUCUGUAAUUAAGUUUAUGGGAUUAGGAUCCUCGUCAUUUACUGUGAGCAAAAUAGGGUGUUCAAAGCAGGCUUAUGCCGUUGAAUACAUUAGCAUGGAAUAAUAAGAUAAGACCUUGGUCUAUUUUGUUGGUUUGUACUCCAAGGUAAUGAUUAAUAGGGAUAGUUGGGGGUAUUCGUAUUCCGAAGCUAGAGGAA
Molecule: ribosomal RNA, 455 nt
Filed under: uncultured eukaryote
Lineage: Eukaryota
Description: SSU rRNA
Rfam family: Eukaryotic small subunit ribosomal RNA
Source: RNAcentral